RNAcentral lists this ribosomal RNA (435 nucleotides) under uncultured bacterium. Its description in RNAcentral is "partial 16S ribosomal RNA". It matches the Rfam family "Bacterial small subunit ribosomal RNA", at positions 28 to 507 of the family's 1533-position model. The record is from RNAcentral.
GAUGAACGCUGGCGGUAUGCUUAACACAUGCAAGUCGAACGGACUCUUCGGAGUUAGUGGCGGACGGGUGAGUAACGCGUGAGAAUCUGGCUUUGGGUUCGGGACAACCACUGGAAACGGUGGCUAAUACCGGAUGUGCCGAGAGGUAAAAGAGAAAUUGCCUGAAGAUGAGCUCGCGUCUGAUUAGCUAGUUGGUGAGGUAAAGGCUCACCAAGGCAGCGAUCAGUAGCUGGUCUGAGAGGAUGACCAGCCACACUGGGACUGAGACACGGCCCAGACUCCUACGGGAGGAAGCAGUGGGGAAUUUUCCGCAAUGGGCGAAAGCCUGACGGAGCAAUACCGCGUGGGGGAAGAAGGCUCUUGGGGUGUAAACCUCUUUUCUUAGGGAAGAACAAAAUGACGGUACCUAAGGAAUCAGCAUCGGCUAACUCCGUG